This 253-nucleotide ribosomal RNA is filed under the name uncultured bacterium. RNAcentral describes it as "partial 16S ribosomal RNA". It matches the Rfam family "Bacterial small subunit ribosomal RNA", at positions 524 to 776 of the family's 1533-position model. The record is from RNAcentral.
UACGUAGGGCGCAAGCGUUAUCCGGAAUUAUUGGGCGUAAAGAGCUCGUAGGCGGUUUGUCGCGUCUGCCGUGAAAGUCCGGGGCUCAACUCCGGAUCUGCGGUGGGUACGGGCAGACUAGAGUGAUGUAGGGGAGACUGGAAUUCCUGGUGUAGCGGUGAAAUGCGCAGAUAUCAGGAGGAAUACCGGUGGCGAAGGCGGCAUCCUGGACCGACAUUGACGCUGAGGAGCGAAAGCUAGGGGAGCAAACGGG